CCCGCCUGCUCGAGAUGCCCUUCUCUCUCCGUCCACCAGAGAACUGUCCCUCCCCUAACACCCAGGCCAGCAGGCACCUGCUUCGGGGCACUGUGAGAUGGUGGAGGACUAGGGCUGUGUUUUUUCAUCUGAACUGCCAGAACCAAUCACAGUGCGGGGCUCAUGACCACCAAUCAAAUCCCAUUGUUGAAUUGAAA
This is a long non-coding RNA of Pan troglodytes (chimpanzee), 197 nucleotides long. RefSeq lists it as uncharacterized. Lineage: Eukaryota; Metazoa; Chordata; Mammalia; Primates; Hominidae. The transcript is spliced from 2 exons. The record is from RefSeq and is a predicted model, not a curated record.